Camelus dromedarius (Arabian camel) is the source of this 936-nucleotide long non-coding RNA. RefSeq lists it as uncharacterized. Lineage: Eukaryota; Metazoa; Chordata; Mammalia; Artiodactyla; Camelidae. The transcript is spliced from 3 exons. The record is from RefSeq and is a predicted model, not a curated record.
GACCACUCCAUUGUAAAGGGGCGUUUCCCCCUCUGGAAGAUUGAUUUUCCAUCUGUAAAAUGGGGACGAGAAAGGGAGAAUGCAGUGCUGACCGCAUCAGCUGUAGCUGGCCUGGUGCUAGCAGCUUGGCCAUGGUACCCCCACCCAGAGCGACUUCACUGGACAGCUGUAUAUGGGAAGACUUCACGCUGACUGUGAUGAAACGAGACAGAAAUAAGAGCAUUCUGUGAUCACGUCUGAGUGCGGUGGCCUUUGCUGAGCUGGUACCUUGGACUGGGGGUAGUGGCCAUGAGCCUGCGGAGCAGAGGAUGGAAUCAAGAGCUCUCAUGGUGCUGGAUCCAACAGGACUUGAUAGAUUGCAGGUGAGGUCACGUAGGAAGAGAGCACUCAAGGAUGACUCCAUGGUUUUGGACAUGAACAGCGGGACAGAGGCAGAGGUCUUUUACUGAAAGAUGGAAGACGGCGGAGGGGCACGGGGUUGGAAAAAACUAGAGCUCCGUUGGAGACAGAAUCAGUUCAAGAUGCGCAUCGGUGGGCCAAGCCAUCUGUCUUCCACUACACUGUGCUGUGUCCCCAGUGUUGAGCCCAGUGCUUGGCGUGGAUCGGGCGCUCAGAAAGCAUUUGUUCAAUGAGAGAACCGAAAUGAUACGCUUAAAAGCUACAGAUGACUAAUGGCUUCUAGAACAACAGAUGAUCCAAAGUCCGUAGCGAUGGCUAAUUAAACCACUCCAAUCCGAUGUCCAAAAAACUGUAUGCUAGACACCGCCCUUCCAUUCUCCCCUUUAAUUGAACAGGCUUGUCGCCUGCUCUUGUAGCCCAUUGUUCUUCAAAUGUAAUUAGCCUUUGUGUUUUGACAGUAAAUAAGACUCUGGUACACCACUUUGACAAAUGCCUUGUUUCUGGGAAAGGAGUGUUUGUGAACACAAAACCCAGCCU